Oncorhynchus keta (chum salmon) is the source of this 1388-nucleotide long non-coding RNA. RefSeq lists it as uncharacterized. NCBI's taxonomy places the organism in Eukaryota, Metazoa, Chordata, Actinopteri, Salmoniformes, Salmonidae. The record is from RefSeq and is a predicted model, not a curated record. The transcript has 4 exons.
CUAUAACAAUAAGGACUGUUUCUAUGUUAGAUACUGUAGGUUAAAGAUAGUCUAUAACAAUAAGGACUGUUUCUAUGUUAGAUACUGUAGGUUAAAGAUAGUCUAUAACAAUAAGGACUGUUUCUAUGUUAGAUACUGUAGGUUAAAGACUGUCUAUAACAAUAAGGACUGUUUCUAUGUUAGAUACUGUAGGUUAAAGAUAGUCUAUAACAAUAAGGACUGUUUCUAUGUUAGAUACUGUAGGUUAAAGAUAGUCUAUAACAAUAAGGACUGUUUCUAUGUUAGAUACUGUAGGUUAAAGACUGUCUAUAACAAUAAGGACUGUUUCUAUGUUAGAUACUGUAGGUUAAAGACUGUCUAUAACAAUAAGGACUGUUUCUAUGCUAGAUACUGUAGGUUAAAGAUAGUCUAUAACAAUAAGGACUGUUUCUAUGCUAGAUACUGUAGGUUAAAGAUAGUCUAUAACAAUAAGGACUGUUUCUAUGUUAGAUACUGUAGGUUAAAGACUGUCUAUAACAAUAAGGACUGUUUCUAUGUUAGAUACUGUAGGUUAAAGAUAGUCUAUAACAAUAAGGACUGUUUCUAUGUUAGAUACUGUAGGUUAAAGACUGUCUAUAACAAUAAGGACUGUUUCUAUUUCUGGUGCAUGUCCAAGAUCGAUAAUCAAUAUGUUGUUUAUACAGAUCAGUCUACACAAUAUUGAUACUAUAUAGUCCCAUAAGAACUGGAGAAAACUCAAAGACUGAUGUCAGUUGAUCGUUGUUGUGAUUCAAUGUUUAAAGAGCCACUUUGUUACUAAUAGCUGAAGAACCAGAGAACACAUAUGGAAUCAUGUUGUAACCAAAAAUACGUUAAACAAAUCAAAAUAUAUUUUAUAUUUUAUGAUUCUUAAAAGUAGCCACCCGUUGCCUUGAUGACAGCUUUGCACACUCUUGGCCUUCUGUCAACCAACUUCAUGAGGUAGUCACCUGGAUUUUAAAAAAAUUAAUAAGUGUGACUUGAUUAAAGUACAUUUGUGGAAUGUAUUUCCUUCUUAGGAAUGGUAUACAGAAUAUAGCCCUAUUUGGUAAAUGACCAAGUCCAUAUUAUGGAAAGAUCAGCUCAAAUAAGCAAAGAGAAACGACAGCCCAUCAUUACUUUAAGACAUGAAGGUCAACCGUACAGAAAAUGAACUUUGAAAGUGCAGUGGCAAAAAUCAUCAAGUGCUCUGAUGAAACUGCCUCAUGAGGACCACGACAAGAAAGGAAGACCCAGAGUUUCCUCUGCUGCAGAGGAUAAGUACAUUAGAGUUCGCUGUACCUCAGUUUGCAGCCUAAAAUAAAUGCUUCACAGAGUUCAAGUAAGAGACACAUCUAAGCAUCAACUGUUCAGAGGAGACUAUUUGAAUC